Molecule: transfer RNA, 85 nt
Filed under: Felis catus (domestic cat)
Lineage: Eukaryota; Metazoa; Chordata; Mammalia; Carnivora; Felidae
Also listed under: 2 other names
Rfam family: tRNA
About the family: Transfer RNA (tRNA) molecules are approximately 80 nucleotides in length. Their secondary structure includes four short double-helical elements and three loops (D, anti-codon, and T loops). Further hydrogen bonds mediate the characteristic L-shaped molecular structure. tRNAs have two regions of fundamental functional importance: the anti-codon, which is responsible for specific mRNA codon recognition, and the 3' end, to which the tRNAs corresponding amino acid is attached (by aminoacyl-tRNA synthetases). tRNAs cope with the degeneracy of the genetic code in two manners: having more than one tRNA (with a specific anti-codon) for a particular amino acid; and 'wobble' base-pairing, i.e. permitting non-standard base-pairing at the 3rd anti-codon position.
Source: Rfam by way of RNAcentral
GCCUGGGUGGCUCAGUCGGUUGAGCUUCUGAUUUCAGCUCAGGUCAUGAUCUCACGGUCCAUGGGUUCGAGCCCCGCAUCAGGCU